AAGCGAUAGAAAUUAACAUUGGAUUGACAGAUAUCAAGCUUAUUGUGUUCAAAUUAUGUUACACAAGUUUACAGACCGUAACAGAGAUUACUGAUUUUCAAGUUCUACUUUUUAAAAACAGUGACAUUUAAUUGUUAUGUGGAAUGGAACUGAAAGAUGCAAACUAAAUAUUGAAUUUGUAAGACAAUUAAGAAUUAUUUAGGUCAAAGCUGCAAAGUCUAACUUCAACGUAUUUUGCAGGACAGAUGAACUUUACAGCAAAACUUUUUGCAACUUUGUGUGAAUAAUAAUCAGAAAACAUAAUGGAAAUAAAAUGAUAGCUUCAAAAAAAUGGAACAAUGAACUGAUCAACAAAGAAAUUGAAAUUUAAAAGAUCCUUUACUGACACAGGUAAAAAGAACACCAUAAAUGGGGAGAUUUGAUAUCAUCUUGUGCUUGUACUCGCUGCUGAAGAUUGUAUCAAAUGAGUUUUCCUUAUCAAAAUGAUUACAGACCAACUUGGAAGGUUUGUGAGUCAGGACUUCCCCUUUACAGAGGCCAUUCUAUAAAGGAUUAGCAAGGAGAAUCUAUGAUUCAGUUGUGAGAAGCAACGCUCAGCACCAAUCUCACAAAGCAAAAUGAUAGAAGCUGAGAUGAUGAACUAGCUAUAUUUUGUCACUAUUGGUAGUUCAAUCAACAAUACAGUUACUGCAAUUUCUAAAUGACGCAAAAUGUCAUCUCAAGAAGAUACCAUGAAGAAAGUCUUCCUUAACUUGACCAAUGGCUGUUUUGAGGCUGUCAAUUUCCAGAUGUCCUUGAGUGGAAGAAAGAACCUUCAUAACCAUAAAAUAAAUAAAGGAGCAAGCAUUCAGUCCUUCAGUCCUAAAAACACCUGUGGAAACACUGGUGAUACAAUAACCCCACAACUCUGCCCUUCUCUGUUCCUUUGA
Molecule: long non-coding RNA, 929 nt
Filed under: Anser cygnoides (Swan goose)
Lineage: Eukaryota; Metazoa; Chordata; Aves; Anseriformes; Anatidae
Description: lncRNA (ENSACDG00005010253.1)
Source: RNAcentral